This 229-nucleotide ribosomal RNA is filed under the name uncultured bacterium. Its description in RNAcentral is "partial 16S ribosomal RNA". It matches the Rfam family "Bacterial small subunit ribosomal RNA", at positions 568 to 796 of the family's 1533-position model. The record is from RNAcentral.
UACGUAGGCGGAAAAUUAAGUCAGUAGUGAAAUCCUGCAGCUUAACUGUAGAACUGUUAUUGAUACUGGUUUUCUUGAAUAUAGUUGAGGUAGGCGGAAUGUGUAAUGUAGCGGUGAAAUGCUUAGAUAUUACACAGAACACCGAUUGCGAAGGCAGCUCACUAAGCUAUGAUUGACGCUGAGGCACGAAAGCGUGGGGAGCGAACAGGAUUAGAUACCCUGGUAGUCC